UAAUACGUAGGUGGCAAGCGUUGUCCGGAAUUAUUGGGCGUAAAGGGCUCGCAGGCGGUUUUUUAAGUCUGAUGUGAAAUCUUGUGGCUUAACCACAAGCGGUCAUUGGAAACUGGAGAACUUGAGUACAGAAGAGGAGAGUGGAAUUCCACGUGUAGCGGUGAAAUGCGUAGAGAUGUGGAGGAACACCAGUGGCGAAGGCGACUCUCUGGUCUGUAACUGACGCUGAGGAGCGAAAGCGUGGGGAGCAAACAGG
RNAcentral lists this ribosomal RNA (256 nucleotides) under uncultured archaeon. RNAcentral describes it as "partial 16S ribosomal RNA". It matches the Rfam family "Bacterial small subunit ribosomal RNA", at positions 521 to 776 of the family's 1533-position model. The record is from RNAcentral.